Arachis ipaensis is the source of this 723-nucleotide non-coding RNA. NCBI's taxonomy places the organism in Eukaryota, Viridiplantae, Streptophyta, Magnoliopsida, Fabales, Fabaceae. The record is from RefSeq and is a predicted model, not a curated record.
UCUGAACCUGUAUAUAUAUAUAAGGGUGUUAGGUAAAAUAAUUUAUACUUUUUUCCAUUGCCUCCUUUACAUUAUUCUUUCUAUUUUCUAUAUAUAUAUUAUUAUCUUCUUUCUUUUUAGUUGCACCUGCAUGCUGAUGAGUAGUCAUAUGAUGACUAAUUCAAAAGCCUAUCUUUCUUUUCUUAUUUUUGCUUCUCUCUUAUCUUCUCAUGUCUUGACUCAUGAAUUAUCCGAGGGUAGUUAUAGUGGUUACCAUUCCAAGGAUUUUCAAUGGACUAUGCCUUCUGAGCUACCUAAAGCUAAAAAGGAUGAAUAUACUACUUAUUCACUUGGUUAUUUUCUCAGUGAAAAGCGUCCUAAACGUCGUCGUAUUAAUCCUCCUCCUCCUUCUUCUUCUCCUCGUCGUCGCUCUCCUCCUCCUCUUUCUCCUUCACAGCUAAAUAAAAUGUUUCUAGGUCGUCCACUUGAUCCUACGCCUAUGCCGCCUCUACCUACACCUCCACCAAUAUCCGAUUUUAACCAUUGGAUGGUUUCAUAUAUGGCGAGUUCUACAUUGUAAAAUCAAUAUGGACUUCUCUCUGGACAAUUUAUUAAAAAAAUAUUGAUGAUCCAACAAGUACCAAGUGUCUUGUGAAAAAAAUAAAUUCUGUCAUUUACAAAGACAUACAAUAUAAAACAGUAGUUAUUACUGGAAAAAUAAGAUCAUUAUUAAGCUUGUGAAUA